UGGGGAAUUUUGGACAAUGGGCGAAAGCCUGAUCCAGCAAUGCCGCGUGUGUGAAGAAGGCCUUCGGGUUGUAAAGCACUUUUGUCCGGAAAGAAAUCCUUGGCUCUAAUACAGUCGGGGGAUGACGGUACCGGAAGAAUAAGCACCGGCUAACUACGUGCCAGCAGCCGCGGUAAUACGUAGGGUGCAAGCGUUAAUCGGAAUUACUGGGCGUAAAGCGUGCGCAGGCGGUUUGCUAAGACCGAUGUGAAAUCCCCGGGCUCAACCUGGGAACUGCAUUGGUGACUGGCAGGCUAGAGUAUGGCAGAGGGGGGUAGAAUUCCACGUGUAGCAGUGAAAUGCGUAGAGAUGUGGAGGAAUACCGAUGGCGAAGGCAGCCCCCUGGGCCAAUACUGACGCUCAUGCACGAAAGCGUGGGGAGCAAACAGGAUUAGAUACCCUGGUAGUCCACGCCCUAAACGAUGUCAACUAGUUGUUGGGGAUUCAUUUCCUUAGUAACGUAGCUAACGCGUGAAGUUGACCGCCUGGGGAGUACGAUCGCAAGAUUAAAACUCAAAUGAAUUGACGGGGUCAUAGCUGUUUCCU
RNAcentral lists this ribosomal RNA (585 nucleotides) under uncultured bacterium. RNAcentral's name for it is "partial 16S ribosomal RNA". It matches the Rfam family "Bacterial small subunit ribosomal RNA", at positions 355 to 1375 of the family's 1533-position model. The record is from RNAcentral.